This 343-nucleotide ribosomal RNA is filed under the name Mesomycoplasma ovipneumoniae. Its description in RNAcentral is "Mycoplasma ovipneumoniae partial 16S ribosomal RNA". It matches the Rfam family "Bacterial small subunit ribosomal RNA", at positions 71 to 406 of the family's 1533-position model. Lineage: Bacteria; Bacillati; Mycoplasmatota; Mycoplasmoidales; Metamycoplasmataceae. The record is from RNAcentral.
UAUGUUAGCUUGCUWAUAUAUUUAGUAGCAAAUGGGUGAGUAACACGUACCUAACCUACCUUUUGGACCGGGAUAACUAUUGGAAACAGCAGCUAAUACCGGAUAAAAUAAAAAAAUGCAUGUUUUUUUAUUAAAAGGAGCCUUUAAAGCUCCACCAAAAAAUGGGGGUGCGCAACAUUAGUUAGUUGGUAGGGUAAAGGCUUACCAAGACGAUGAUGUUUAGCGGGGCCAAGAGGCUGUACCGCCACACUGGGAUUGAGAUACGGCCCAGACUCCUACGGGAGGCAGCAGUAAGGAAUAUUCCACAAUGAGCGAAAGCUUGAUGGAGCGACACAGAGUGCAG